AUCAGGGGUAAACCUGUGGAACUCGAACGAGCGAACGGGGAGAUUCAUCGUUUCUUUGGAGAUCCGCGGCGGAGCGGUUUGACGUCGGAUCGCACUCUGUYGUGGUUUUCAAAGGGCGUGCACUUCUCCCUUAGUAAAACACCGCGACCCGUUAGUCGGUCGAACGCGCCGUGCGGUAGUCCCGUCUUAUAAGGCGGAGCCGCGGUGUCGCGGCCGAAAUCUGACGGUAACGAACGAGGUUCGCNNNNNNNNNNGUCCGCUCAUCGCGACGUCCCUUCCUCUGUAGAUCGACGUGCGUCGUUUGCAUGAAGGUCGUGCUGUCGCAACGCUCGGACGGGACGCGUCCCGGUCUGCGGUGGUUUUGUUUCGGGCACUCACAGGACCCGUCUUAAAC
Molecule: ribosomal RNA, 394 nt
Filed under: Potamyia flava
Lineage: Eukaryota; Metazoa; Arthropoda; Insecta; Trichoptera; Hydropsychidae
Description: partial 28S ribosomal RNA
Source: RNAcentral